CAGCAGCCGCGGUAAUACGAAGGGGGCUAGCGUUGUUCGGAUUAACUGGGCGUAAAGGGCGCGUAGGCGGGUUUUUAAGUCAGAGGUGAAAUCCCAAGGCUCAACCUUGGAACUGCCUUUGAUACUGGAAAUCUUGAGUCCGGGAGAGGUGAGUGGAACUGCGAGUGUAGAGGUGAAAUUCGUAGAUAUUCGCAAGAACACCAGUGGCGAAGGCGGCUCACUGGCCCGGUACUGACGCUGAGGCGCGAAAGCGUGGGGAGCAAACAGGAUUAGAUACCCGCGUAGUCCCUGUCUCUUAUAC
Molecule: ribosomal RNA, 301 nt
Filed under: uncultured bacterium
Lineage: Bacteria
Description: partial 16S ribosomal RNA
Rfam family: Bacterial small subunit ribosomal RNA
Source: RNAcentral